This 392-nucleotide ribosomal RNA is filed under the name uncultured bacterium. Its description in RNAcentral is "partial 16S ribosomal RNA". It matches the Rfam family "Bacterial small subunit ribosomal RNA", at positions 523 to 918 of the family's 1533-position model. The record is from RNAcentral.
ACACGUAGGGGCCUGACGUUGUUCGGAAUCAUUGGGCGUAAAGGGCGCGCAGGCGGCCGUCCAAGUCCGGUGUUAAAUGGUCGGGCUCAACCCGAUCAUGCGCUGGAAACUGGGCGGCUGGAGUCCCGGAGGGGAUGCCGGAAUUCCAGGUGUAGGGGUGAAAUCUGUAGAUAUCUGGAAGAACACCGAUGGCGAAGGCAGGCAUCUGGCCGGAGACUGACGCUGAGGCGCGAAGGCGCGGGGAGCGAACAGGUUUAGAUACCCUGGUAGUCCGCGCAGUAAACGAUGCGCACCAGGUGUCGGGCGGCAGCGCCCGGUACCGGAGCAAGCGCGAUGAGUGCGCCGCCUGGGGAGUAUGCCCGCAAGGGUGAAACUCAAAUGAAUUGGCGGGG